RNAcentral lists this ribosomal RNA (511 nucleotides) under uncultured bacterium. RNAcentral's name for it is "bacterial SSU rRNA". It matches the Rfam family "Bacterial small subunit ribosomal RNA", at positions 1 to 457 of the family's 1533-position model. The record is from RNAcentral.
GACUCCUAUAGGGCGAAAUUGAUUUAUCCGCCGCGAAUUCGCCCUUAGAGUUUGAUCAUGGCUCAGGAUGAACGCUAGCGACAGGCUUAACACAUGCAAGUCGAGGGGCAGCGGGGCGGCAGGCUUGCCUGCCGUUGCCGGCGACCGGCGCACGGGUGAGUAACACGUAUGCAACCUGCCCGUGGCAGGGGGAUAAGCGGGGGAAACCCCGUCUAAUACCGCGUAACGCGGCCUAGGGACAUCCCAAGGCCGCCAAAGGGAGCAAUCCCGGCCACGGAUGGGCAUGCGGCGCAUUAGCUAGUCGGCGGGGUAACGGCCCACCGAGGCGACGAUGCGUAGGGGUUCUGAGAGGAAGGCCCCCCACACUGGUACUGAGACACGGACCAAACUCCUACGGGAGGCAGCAGUGAGGAAUAUUGGUCAAUGGGCGCGAGCCUGAACCAGCCAAGUCGCGUGAGGGAGGACGGCCCUACGGGUUGUAAACCUCUUUUGCCGGGGAGCAACGGGCGCC